Molecule: long non-coding RNA, 1463 nt
Filed under: Triticum aestivum (bread wheat)
Lineage: Eukaryota; Viridiplantae; Streptophyta; Magnoliopsida; Poales; Poaceae
Description: long non-coding RNA (TAES_LNC024515)
Source: RNAcentral
ACCGACAUCCUGGCUGCCCCGGCAGCCGUGGUCGCUGUUGGUGUGUCCGUUCAGCACGGGCACCAUGACGGGUCAUCACACAAGGUUGUCGCCGGAUCCGGCGACACCAAGCCUGACUACCACCGGAUCUGGUGAGUAAUGAAUCCCAUCUCCCCUAACCUCUCUCCAUAUGUAUUUCACGAUUUCUGAUUUAUUUAGCAUGAUUUGAACACUCUAUGUUUCUUUACCACCAGAUCGUCGGCCUCCUCUGCUACUUCAAUUUCAGGAUUUUUGAAUGUUUGUGACAGAUUGCAUGUGUUGUAGUUUUUUGAAAGAGACCAAAAUCUAUGAAAUUACUUCCCUGUAAUAUAUUUGAAUGCGGUGUUGCUAGUUGUGAAACAAAGUAAUGUGAAAUGGUUUGUGGCACAAUGUGAAAUUUAUAUUUCAAUCUGGUGAAACUGGAUUACUUCAAUAUGUCGAAGUGAGAAUUGAAUGAUUUUCAGUGAGAUUUGAAUUGAAAUAGCUAUGUGUAGUUGAGAUGUGCAAAAAAUGUGAAAUUGGGAUUUCAAUGUGUUGUUGCAAGUUGCAAAACUAAUUUCUUUGAAAAUAUAUGGAAUUAGAUCUAUGAAAUAUAUGAAACAACUAUUUCUCUUAUCUGUCAUUUGUUAUUUCAGUGAUAUAUGUAUUGAGAAAUUACUCCCCUGGAAUAUAUUUCAAUGCGGUGUUGCAAGUUGUGAAACUUAUUUCUGCGAAAAUAUAUGAAAUUACUUCUCUGGAAUAUAUGAAACUGUUGUUUCUCUUAUUUGGCAUUUGUUAUUUAAGUGAGAUGUGUAUUGGGAAAUAUGAAAUUACUUCCCUGAAAUAUAUUUCAAUGUGUUGUUGCAAGUUGUGAAACUAAUUUCUGUGAAAAUAUAUGAAAUUUGUUUUCUGAAAUAUAUGAAACUGCUAUUUGUCACAUAUGUAACUUGUUAUUUCAGUGAUAUAUGUAUUGAGAAAUUACUUCCCUGGAAUAUAUUUCAAUGCGGUGUUGCAAGUUGUGAAACUAAUUUCUGGGAAAAUAUAUGAAAUUACUUCUCUGAAUUAUAUGAAACUGUUGUUUCUCUUAUCUGGCAUUUGUUAUUUAAGUGAGAUGUGUAUUGGGAAAUAUGAAAUUACUUCCCUGGAAUAUAUUUCAAUGUGUUGUUACAAGUUGUGAAACUAAUUUCUGUGAAAAUAAAUGAAAUUACUUUUCUGAAAUAUAUGAAACUGCUAUUUGUCACAUAUGUAACUUGUUAUAUCAGUGAGAUAUGUAUUGAAAUAUGUGAAAUUACUUUCCUGAAAAAUAUGUAAUUCCUUUCCAGAAAUAUAUUUCAAUGUGGUAUUACGAGUUGUUAAACUAAUUUAAGUGUAAUGGUUUGUGCAAGAUAUGUGAAAUUUAUAUUUCAAUGUGGUGAAACCAGAUCAUUUUAGUUGGUGGAAGUGUUAUAUAUUUAUGAAAAUGAUUG